AUACGUAGGGGGCGAGCGUUGUCCGGAAUGAUUGGGCGUAAAGGGCGCGUAGGCGGCCCGGUAAGUCUGGAGUGAAAGUCCUGUUUUUAAGAUGGGAAUUGCUUUGGAUACUGUCGGGCCUGAGUGCAGGAGAGGUAAGUGGAAUUCCCAGUGUAGCGGUGAAAUGCGUAGAGAUUGGGAGGAACACCAGUGGCGAAGGCGACUUCCUGGACUGUAACUGACGCUGAGGCGCGAAAGAGUGGGGAGCAAACAGGAUUAGAUACCCUGGUAGUCCACGCUGUAAACGAUGAUUACUAGGUGUGGGGGGACUGACCCCUGCCGUGCCGCAGUUAACACAAUAAGUAAUCCACCUGGGGAGUACGGCCGCAAGGUUGAAACUCAAAGGAAUUGACGGGG
RNAcentral lists this ribosomal RNA (396 nucleotides) under uncultured bacterium. RNAcentral describes it as "partial 16S ribosomal RNA". It matches the Rfam family "Bacterial small subunit ribosomal RNA", at positions 523 to 918 of the family's 1533-position model. The record is from RNAcentral.